RNAcentral lists this ribosomal RNA (509 nucleotides) under uncultured bacterium. Its description in RNAcentral is "bacterial SSU rRNA". It matches the Rfam family "Bacterial small subunit ribosomal RNA", at positions 9 to 514 of the family's 1533-position model. The record is from RNAcentral.
GAGUUUGAUCUUGGCUCGGAUUGAACGCUGGCGGCAGGCCUAACACAUGCAAGUCGGGCGGUAGAGAGAAGCUUGCUUCUCUUGAGAGCGGCGGACGGGUGAGUAAUGCCUAGGAAUCUGCCUGGUAGUGGGGGAUAACGCUCGGAAACGGACGCUAAUACCGCAUGCGUCCUACGGGAGAAAGCAGGGGACCUUCGGGCCUUGCGCUAUCAGAUGAGCCUAGGUCGGAUUAGCUAGUUGGUGAGGUAAUGGCUCACCAAGGCGACGAUCCGUAACUGGUCUGAGAGGAUGAUCAGUCACACUGGAACUGAGGCACGGUCCAGACUCCUACGGGAGGCAGCAGUGGGGAAUAUUGGACAAUGGGCGAAAGCCUGAUCCAGCCAUGCCGCGUGUGUGAAGAAGGUCUUCGGAUUGUAAAGCACUUUAAGUUGGGAGAAGGGCAGUAAAUUAAUACUUUGCUGUUUUGACGUUACCGACAGAAUAAGCACCGGCUAACUCUGUGCCAGCAG